AGAAAACAAAUCUGAGACAACACCUGAUAAGCCAACCCAAUGCCUAAGACGUUCAAUAAAAUCACAUGGUCUACUGAUUCAAAAGCAGCAGUAAGGUCUAAAAGCAAAAAAACACAUGUUAGGCCGUGUAAGAAAAAAUUGAGGGAGUGACUUGUGCAUCAUAGAUCAUGGUUCAUGAAAGUGAGGUAAUAAACAAAAUAUAGGACGGGUAGAUCAACUCCCAGGUCACCUCCCUGAUGGACUGCACCAAUUGGUAGGUUGGUAAGAAAUUUCCUUUUUUUUUAAUGGCUUUCGACGACUAAUAAGCACAAGGGAUUCUUAAUAUGCCUUGAUUGGUCAAAUCACAAAUUCCUGGUGCCACCUUUUCACACUCAGACCAACUGCCCUGGAUAGCUGCUACUGCAGUGCUAGCCGCGGGUCUGCUGUUUGCAACAGUGUGUGCCGUGAGAGCUUGGAAGAUGGCCAACCAAACAAGACUUGGCAGUGAUGCUCUACUCAACAAAGCUCCACCCAACCAAGGGAACUCCAAGGUGUUCUUCAGAAGUGGGGAGGACAUCUAUGCUAACAUUGAUACACUGAUGAACACGGUCGGACCGAGACAGGAUCCUGUUGGAGCAGGAGAAGAGGCUGCUGGAUUGGGAGAAGGGGCUGUUGGACUGGGAGAAGGGGCUGUUGGACUGGGAGAAGGGGCUGUUGGACUGGGAGAAGGGGCCGACUGUGAUGUGGUGUACACAACAGUGAAAUGGAAGAAGAAGUCCAAGAAAAAAGAGGUCUGAGCUCCUGGGGCAGAGACCCUCUGGGGCCCAGGGCCCCGGAGGCCCCUACACUUCCUCUGGGGUGGAUGAGGGAUGAGCUAAGGGCUGGAGGGAUGAGUUAAGGGCUACAUUGAUGGGUAAAGGCUAGAGGGAUGAGUUAAGGGCUACAUUGAUGAGUAAAGGCUAGAGGGAUGAGUUAAGGGCUACAUUGAUGGGUAAAGGCUAGAGGGAUGAGUUAAGGGCUACAGGGAUGAGUUAAUGUUAGAGGGCUGAGUUAAGGGCUACAUUGAUGGGUAAAGGCUUGAGGGAGGAGUUAUGGGCUACCUGGAUGAGUUAAGGGAUGUAGGGAUGAGUUAAGGGCUAGAGGGAUGAGUACGGGGCUAGGCCAGGGGCCGUAUUCCCAAAGAAUCGUAGGGUUAAUAGUUAGGGUUAGUGGCUGAUUUAGGAGAAACCCUUAAGAAUAAUGGGUGUGUCAGUCUUAAAUGUUGGACUCCUAAUUGAUUUAAAUUAGAGCAAUUCACAAAGUAUUAUGGGCCCAAAAGUAGAAACCAAGUCUAGGAGAGCUUAAAAGUCCUCGAGAGGACUCCUAACUCAGUAAGACCUAUUCACAAAGAAUCAGAAAAUGGCUGCAGCGAGACAAUUUUUUUUUGAGAUAAUAGAGGACUUCGAAUUGAUAAAGAGAUAUAGGCGUAAGGGUAUCAAACUUGUGGUUGAAUUUGUGAAUAACACCUCAACAUUUAGCAACAGGGAAAAUGCAUCUGUUAAGGGAAACGUAUAAAUAUGUCCUCAGUUGUUGUAUAUAUAUGUAUAUAUAUAGUGUUGAUUCUGUACCCAAGUCCACAGAUUAUUGAACCACUGUGGGGAGCUGGGUAAAUAUGCAGGCUUGCGUCAUAUGUAAAUGAAGGUGCGUUCACAUCAAGCACAUGUUCAGGAUGUAUAAUGCAGUUCUAAGAGAGCUCGGCCGAGCGUAACAUGCAUAAAUGGUAUUGAGAAAAUAUAUCAUAAACCAUGCCCAAGAGCUAAAGAGU
Molecule: long non-coding RNA, 1783 nt
Organism: Gadus morhua (Atlantic cod)
Lineage: Eukaryota; Metazoa; Chordata; Actinopteri; Gadiformes; Gadidae
Exons: 3
Source: RefSeq, a predicted model, not a curated record